Nelumbo nucifera (sacred lotus) is the source of this 1086-nucleotide non-coding RNA. The record is from RefSeq and is a predicted model, not a curated record. NCBI's taxonomy places the organism in Eukaryota, Viridiplantae, Streptophyta, Magnoliopsida, Proteales, Nelumbonaceae.
UCUAACCGGCGGUCUUUGAGAACAGACGCGACACUUUUGCAUUUAAACCGAGCUUGAGACGGUCUAAAUAGCCUCUUCCAUUUGAAAGGGAGAACAAGAAGUCAAAAACUCUCGCACUCCCUCCUACUUUGCGCGUUCGAUGAGUUUUUCUGGCAAAACUUUUUUAGAAAUCGAUUGAGAAAAGCUUUUGAAGGUUAGGAAGAUGGAAUACAGAGUGGUUGCAUAUUUGUCAAUGGAAAUUCUAGCAUCUAGUUUUGCAGAAAUUACAGGGAGCAAUGAAGGACAUUAGAGACAACCUAGAAACCUCUGAAGAAGGUGGAGAGGCUUCUGAUUCCUUAACUCUACAUCUCAGAGGCUUGACUAUGAAGCUGCAGACAUAGAGAGGCAGGCUAGAAAGAACAGGCACUUGAUAGACAGGGGUAUGUAACAACAACGGUAGCUAUUCCAAUAAACCUGAUUGCUGUCAUUGCAUUGUCAGUAUCCAGAUUUCUGAAGUUGCGCCAUUCAUUUCACCUGCUUAUUAUAGCAUGUUGGAUAUUAACAGGACGAGUCCUGUGUUAAUUGGUUGGCCUUUGGGAUGUAUUUCUUUCUAGAAAGGUUCACUAGAGACACAUGCACUAUCCUUGAUUCUUGAAUAUUUCCAACAAGACCCAAGCAAUUAGCAGCUUGAGCUCAACCCUCCCAUGUGAUGAACUACUUCCAGCAAAAUCAGUCUUAUCUGAUGUCAGUGAAGGAAUCUAUGAUCUUGCGAAUCAGGUCACCAGUAUUGAAUCUUUCCAGAUAGGCUUCCCAACAAAAACACCCAACCCUAGGAGGGAUUGAUAAUCAGGAUACAUGAACAUUACAUUCAACCAAAGAGAGGAAGUCUUAUCUCUCUUGGUUUUGGUUCUAUAGUGCAUACUCUAUGUUGGGCCAUAUCAAUGGCUGCUACACGAAAGGGUUUAGCAUGAGCUUGAAAUAUGCAAUCAACAUAUGGUUGAUCAUUAUGUUAAGUGGGUUUGCAUUGGAAGAUGUGCUAUAUUAUUCGACAAAUUGAAUUUUUUUAAGUCCUUGUACUUUUUGUGUCAAUUGGAUAUUGUAUUUGAA